RNAcentral lists this ribosomal RNA (295 nucleotides) under uncultured Proteiniphilum sp. RNAcentral's name for it is "partial 16S ribosomal RNA". It matches the Rfam family "Bacterial small subunit ribosomal RNA", at positions 1088 to 1382 of the family's 1533-position model. The record is from RNAcentral. Lineage: Bacteria; Pseudomonadati; Bacteroidota; Bacteroidia; Bacteroidales; Dysgonomonadaceae.
CCAUACGAGCGCAACCCUCAUCAUUAGUUACCAUCAGGUAAGGCUGGGGACUCUAAUGAGACUGCCAUCGUAAGAUGUGAGGAAGGUGGGGAUGACGUCAAAUCAGCACGGCCCUUACGUCCGGGGCGACACACGUGUUACAAUGGGUGGUACAAAGGGCAGCUACCUGGCGACAGGAUGCUAAUCUCCAAAACCACUCUCAGUUCGGAUCGGAGUCUGCAACUCGACUCCGUGAAGCUGGAUUCGCUAGUAAUCGCGCAUCAGCCACGGCGCGGUGAAUACGUUCCCGGGCCUU